RNAcentral lists this small nucleolar RNA (86 nucleotides) under Ornithorhynchus anatinus (platypus). Its description in RNAcentral is "Small nucleolar RNA SNORD111 (ENSOANG00000023888.2)". It matches the Rfam family "Small nucleolar RNA SNORD111". From Rfam's summary of the family: The members of this family belong to the C/D class of snoRNAs which contain the C (UGAUGA) and D (CUGA) box motifs. Lineage: Eukaryota; Metazoa; Chordata; Mammalia; Monotremata; Ornithorhynchidae. The record is from Rfam by way of RNAcentral.
CUGCCUGAAAUGAUGAGUUCACUUCAUGUCUCUUCUCUGAAAUCUUCCCUGGAGACACAAUUAACCUCGCUGAUCUGAUCAGGCUG